AUUGAACGCUGGCGGCAUGCCUUACACAUGCAAGUCGAACGCGAAAGGGGGCAACCCCGAGUAGAGUGGCGAACGGGUGAGCAAUACAUCGGAACACGUCCUGUAGCGGGGGACAACCUCGAGAAAUCGAGGCUAAUACCGCAUACGAUCUACGGAUGAAAGUGGGGGACCGCAAGGCCCCACACUAUAGGAGUGGCCGAUGCCGGAUUAGCUAGUUGGCGGGGUAAUAGCCCACCAAGGCUACGAUCCGUAGCUGGUUUGAGAGAACGACCAGCCACACUGGGACUGAGACACGGCCCAGACUCCUACGGGAGGCAGCAGUGGGGAAUUUUGGACAAUGGGCGAAAGCCUGAUCCAGCCAUGCCGCGUGAGUGAAAAAGGCCUUCGGGUUGUAAAGCUCUUUCAGACGGAAAGAAAUUGCGCAGGUAAAUAAUCUGUGUAGAUGACGGUACCGUAAGAAGAAGCACCGGCUAACUACGUGCCAGCAGCCGCGGUAA
RNAcentral lists this ribosomal RNA (497 nucleotides) under uncultured bacterium. RNAcentral describes it as "partial 16S ribosomal RNA". It matches the Rfam family "Bacterial small subunit ribosomal RNA", at positions 29 to 523 of the family's 1533-position model. The record is from RNAcentral.